CUAAACUUGAAGCCAGCCUGGUCUCCAAAGCAAGUCUCAGGCCAGCCAGGCACCCAGUUUAAAAGUCCCAAGGAUGGCAGGCAGGUGACCGUGGGCAUGGCUUCACACCCAGCUAAACAGAUGAGUUCUUAAACGAUUUAUUGACUAAAGAUGGGCUAAGGAACUGGACAUGCAUACCUCAUUCUUUGCCUUCUCCUUUGAGAAUAAGUUGCUGAGAAGACGAGCUCUGAUUUCCUUUUCCAUGCCUCAUAUUUGUGUCCCCAGAUUCACAGCCUACACUGAAGCCAACAAGACCCAAAUUCCAACCACAAAAUCUCUUCUUCCUGCUAUAAUUUAUUACCUCAGUUGAAGACAACAUCAAUCCUCUGAGUCACCAUCCUUCAUCACCGCGGCCCUCCCCUCCCCCUCCAUCUUUCCCUAUGGUAUGCAGCCCUGGGAGCCUUGCUGGAUCUACGCAAGAGCUUCUUUGUUUCCACUCGGGAUCCCAGCAGCUCUGAAUGUAGCACGCCAUGGCUCUAUUAUUUAGAUGAUUCCUGUCUACCUC
Mus musculus (house mouse) is the source of this 544-nucleotide long non-coding RNA. RefSeq annotates it as predicted gene, 32231. The transcript is spliced from 3 exons. The record is from RefSeq and is a predicted model, not a curated record. NCBI's taxonomy places the organism in Eukaryota, Metazoa, Chordata, Mammalia, Rodentia, Muridae.